RNAcentral lists this non-coding RNA (24 nucleotides) under Arabidopsis thaliana (thale cress). The record is from RNAcentral. Lineage: Eukaryota; Viridiplantae; Streptophyta; Magnoliopsida; Brassicales; Brassicaceae.
AGCUCGGCUGGUUGAUGGAUUGUC